GACGAACGCUGGCGGCGCGCUUAACACAUGCAAGUCGAACGAGGGAGAGGAGGUUUACUUUCUCAAGCGAGUGGCACACGGGUGAGUAACGCGUGAGGCAUCUGCCUCACAGAGGGGGACAACAGGUGGAAACGACUUAUAAUACCGCAUAAGCGCACAACCCGGCAUCGGGUAGGGGGAAAAGGAUCAAUCCGCUUUGAGCUGGCCUCGCGUCCGAUUGUGUAGUUGGUAAGGUACUGGCCCACCAAGGCCGCGAACGGGAGCCGGAAUGAGAGGUUGAACGGCCACACUGGGACUGAGACAAGGCCCAGACUCCUACGGGAGGCAGCAGUGGGGAAUAAUGGACCGAGAGGGAAACCCUGAUGCAGCGACGGCGCGUGGAGGAAGAAGGUCUUCGGAUUGUAUACCCCUGGUGUUGAGGAGGAUAAUACCGGUACUGAACAAGGAGGUGACGGCUAAUUAGGU
RNAcentral lists this ribosomal RNA (465 nucleotides) under uncultured bacterium. Its description in RNAcentral is "partial 16S ribosomal RNA". It matches the Rfam family "Bacterial small subunit ribosomal RNA", at positions 28 to 506 of the family's 1533-position model. The record is from RNAcentral.